UUUUAAUUUGGAAAAUACCUAUAGAGAAAAAUAGUUCAUUUACUUUAGGAAACUGCCUGUGAAAUUUAGACAGCAUUGCUGGUUUCGGUAACAUUUUGGUUUAUAACUAAUUUUAUAAUUAGAUUAGACCUCACUAGAUUUGAUAGAUUUAAACACUGACCUUACAGAUAGUAAAAAUAAGCAAGAACAUCUUCAACCACUAGUGGUCUCUGUUCUGAAAGUAUCUUAAUAUUGUUGGUAAAGAAGUCAUGUCAGACCUUAAAUCAUCUUUAUCACUUUUCUCAGAAAUUUCUUUACCAUUUGCAAUUAUUUAUGUAUUUAUUUAUGGGCCAGAAAUGUGCAUAUUACUCAGGGUGCAACUAUUGUACACAGUGCCACAAUGGUACUAGAGAUACAACAUCCUUGUUUACUCUCUUUUCCUCUUCUGCUGAUUCUUGACAUUCAAGUUAUUUUCAUUGCAGUGCUUCUGAGGCUUGAACAUGUUUGUUUUAGUAAUUUAUUUGUUGUUUUCAGAUGUUGGAAGAAAUUUUUGUUAGGAUCAAACUGGAGGGUGCAGUAAAAGUGGAAGAUGAUGGCAAGAGGAUUCUGAAAACUGAGUCAAGGAUCAGGCAUGGGGGAAGGACAGGCAGUGAAAUUGAAAACUAUGGUGAAAUAAAAGUGAAUAAAUUAUAAGACUGAAAUUUAUUGUCAUUUAAUGACAUCCAAAACACCUAAAGAUGGAAUGCUCGAGAUGCCUCUGCUGUAAAGGUCAUGGCAAGUACACUGCUGUAUAUCAGGAAAAUGAAGAUUUAUUUUGUUCCUCACUAAAUUGAUGGUUGAAUUUGCCAUCAUCCAUUAUGAUCCAGAAGUCCAAGUCCGUAAGUCUUUAUGGGUGGUGAUGUUCCAAUUAGUUGCUAAUCUUGUGUGUGUGCAGACUGCUAACUGCUGAAGGACCUUGUAGCCACAAGAAAUUCAUACAGAAUAGCAGCAGCACUGGAUGGUACUAACAAGAUCAGUGAUUACUAUACAUAGAGAAAUUAAAAAGGUGAAAAAAAUUACCUUGUUAAUAACUUUCUAACUUCCUUCUGUGUGAUGUUGUUUUAGUUUUGGCUCUUUUUUUGGUUUUGUUUCGGUUUUUUCAGACCAAAUUUUCCCUUGUCCAUGUCUAUGAAUUUGGGGAUAACCACCAAGAGUUAUUGGGGGUUUCUGCAUAAACACAUGAAUGCAUGAAAAGGUAACACUUUAAAGCAUCAGUAGUUAAAAAGUAUGCGUAUGAUUUUGAUGUGGUUUUUGAAGCCCUGUUUGAGAUGGAGCCCACUGUGACUGGAUAGGAACUCCCAUGGUCCAUGCUGAUUUCCAGCUUCCACCUAGACAAGUGCAACUGUAACCGUACAAGCUGUGGCCUUAGCACACAGUUGCAAGUAGAGCCUGGAGGCAGAUGCACACCCAGGAAGAAAUCCUAAGUGUGCCCUGGGGCAAUCAGACCCAUGGAAAGCAGUCAUUCCAGGUGCCAGGAACAUCCUAAUAUUUCAAUAACAUACACGCUGUUACUUUAUACCUACAGCUGCCAGUGAAAAGCUUAGACAGAUACUACACACGCACACUAUGCUAAAAUAAAACCAAGACAAUUAAACUGCCUGGUUUGGAAAAGAUAAAUUUGGGUAAGCAUUACUUGACUUGAGCAAUCAUGAAAUAUAGAAUAUUUUCUCAAAUAACACAAGCACACUGUAAUGCACCAAUCUAGUCUAUGUACCUGUACAUUGUUGUCAUAUCUACAAGUAUUCUGGGUAAUACUGGUCAUAAUAAAAAGUCAUUCAUUAAA
Molecule: long non-coding RNA, 1801 nt
Organism: Empidonax traillii (willow flycatcher)
Lineage: Eukaryota; Metazoa; Chordata; Aves; Passeriformes; Tyrannidae
Exons: 2
Source: RefSeq, a predicted model, not a curated record